CUAGCACUUGAGUCCCUCCUCUUUCAGAUCCUGAUGUUCGCAUGUGGAGCGCACAGGUCAGACUCAUAGGAUGGGUCAGGCUGGAAGGGACCUCAGUGACCAUCGGGUCCAACCUCCCUGUUCAAGCAGGGUGAUCCCAGAGCACAUGGAACAGGAUCGUUCUUGAGUGUCCCCAGUGAGCGAGACUUCACCGCCGUUCCCGUACUCGAUCCCUGCGCAGUGAAGUUCCUCCUCAUGAUCAGGUGGAGCUUCCUGGCCUCUGUUUUUGCCCAUUACCUCUUGUCCCGUUUCUUGGAGGACAGGACCGAGCAGAGCCGGGAUCCAUCGCUGACCCCCUGUCUUCAGAUACUCGCAGACCUUGAUGGGUGUUCCUAUCUUAAUAGUGUUCUGCAAGUUGCUGAGGCUCCAGCACAUCUGAGUCAGCAGAAAUCUGCAAAGAUGUCUGGCAGAGAUUUCCUCUCGUGACUGUAUGACAAGGAGCAAGACACAAGACUGCUGCUAGCCCACAAAGGGGGAAUUUUGAGCUUCUGACUUCUCCGAGAUUGGCAAGAGGUGAGGGAUAUUAAAAUUCAGUUUGCUGUACAAUCACCACACAAUCUUUAGUGUCUUUUAACUGUUCUGUUUUCAUAAGACCAUUGGAGCUGUGCUGCCACCAGGAUGUAAAAACCCUCUGGCAAUUGAAAAGUACCAACACAGAGCCUGUGCUUCUGUGUUGCAUAGAGAUGGGCUUUUUACCUUUCUCUUAAUAUAUUUCUGUUCACAAAGGUAGCAAGCUGAUUUUAUAGGAAAUUUAUUUUUAAAUGUUUUGUUUAUCCUGUAUACAUAAAAAUUUAUCCUAGUUUUCCAAAGCAAAACUUUGGGUGAAAUAUUUAAAUAUAGUAAUCAGCAAGUCAUCUGGUGAAUAUAGAAAAUUUUAGAUAGCCACAGAUUUUAUCAGAAUAAUUAUACAAGCAUUAUACUAAGAGGUAUCCAAUGCUUUUACCUCCCUAGGUUCCAACUGAAUUAGCACAGCAUGUAUGUGUGCACAGGGAGAGGCAGACAAUGCUAUUUCCCUCUGUAUUCAGUCAGGCCAAAAUGAAAGAGAACAGUAUCAAUU
RNAcentral lists this long non-coding RNA (1096 nucleotides) under Taeniopygia guttata (zebra finch). Its description in RNAcentral is "lncRNA (ENSTGUG00000029462.1)". Lineage: Eukaryota; Metazoa; Chordata; Aves; Passeriformes; Estrildidae. The record is from RNAcentral.